GAGUAGUAAUAGUUAAGAUCUUGAAACUCAAAAAAUUUGGCGGUAUUUUAUCUUAUUAGAGGAACCUGUUUAUUAAUUGAUAUUCCACAACUUUAAUUUACUUUUAUUAAAUUAUUUGUAUACCGUUGUCAUGAAUCUAUUAAAAAAUAAUUUUCAUAUUUUUUUAUGGAAUGCAUGUUAGAUCAAGGUGCAGUUUUUAAAAGAAAAAAAUGGGUUACUAUAGUUACAAUGAAUGAAAAUUAUAAAAAUGGAAUUAUGAUAGAAAUAGGAUUUAACAGUAAAUAAAUAAAUAAAGAAUUUUGAUGAAUAAAGAUUCUAAAAUAUG
RNAcentral lists this ribosomal RNA (325 nucleotides) under Pseudacanthopsylla improvisa. Its description in RNAcentral is "partial 12S ribosomal RNA". Lineage: Eukaryota; Metazoa; Arthropoda; Insecta; Hemiptera; Psyllidae. The record is from RNAcentral.